UGACACGCGCCCCUCAGAAUCCUCCCCCCGCGGCUGUGUGUCCGGGGCUGCCCUUGCUGGCUCGGGCCGGCUCUGAGGAGGGGACCCUGCGUUUCCGGUGGGUUUGGGGGGUGAGCAGGGGGCAGGGUCUGACCCAAACCUGCAUGGCACCCCCUCUCCAGCCCAGGCGACCCUGCUGGCCACCGUGGUCCAUGUGGCCGCCAGUCUGCCUGGCUCAAGGGUGCUCUGGUUGUGUCUGUCCUGCUCUCUGGGCCCCCCUCAGAGAGCUUCUCUGUCCCCGGUGUGACCAGUGAGGGUCUGGCCUCCCCUUGCCCUUGUCUUGCAUCUGCUGGAAGCUGCCGAUGGUUUGGGGUCAAACCUGUGACAUCUGUCGGUCGACUGGGGCCCGGGGACAGCUGACUGGAUGUGAGAGGCUGUCUGUCGUCUGUGGGCGCGUGGAGUGGUCCCCCCUCCGCCUCUCAGCACCUGCCGCGGGGGGCCCUCCCAGGGUGUGACGUGGGUGUUUCCGCGGUCGGUUGGGGUGUCUCUGGAGAUCAGCUUUCCGCAGUGCUGUCCCCCAGCUCCGAGUGAGAGGUGCUCUUCCUCCUUGGGGUUCCUCACGGCCCCUGACGAGGGCACCUGCCCCCCCAGGAGGCCGGACGUCCAGCUGAGGGGCGUUGGGCAGCUGAGGACUGGCAAGGCUGAGCCUCCAGCGCUUCUGGGGGAAGGUCACGGCCAGGACCACUGACAGACAACCCCUGUGGGUAUGCAGUGCAGUGGAAGCAUGACAGAGGCAUCUCAACACCAGGCUCUCUGCCACUGGUGCCGGGCCGCCCCUGCAUUCUCGGGGCGGGGGGGGACACACCUGGUUAGGAGCCGGGUCCUCCCAGCGGCUGUGCUUACCGAGCAGCCAGCAGGAUCGAGGAGCUGGGCACCCGCUCUUCUGCCUCUCAUUUUCGUGGGGCAGCUGGGGAGCUCCAGGCGGGAAAGCAGCGUGGCCGCUGGUGGGCGAGUCAAGGAGUCAGAGGGCGAAGCGCAGCUGCUGCCCACUGCGGGCCCCUGGGAGCCGCGAGGAGAUGGGCCAGCGGCACUCGGGACGCCCGUGCAUCGUGUGGGGCUGCAGGUCAGGGACUGACCAGGAGCCCAGCCGGCAGGCUGACCCUUUGGAAAGAACCUCCUCUUGGGUGCACGGUGUCGCCAGCUUUCUCCUGGGGUUCGGAGGUGAUGCUGUGAGGUCGGGGCUCGGCACUCACGCCCGCAGUGGGUGGCGUCGGGAGAAGGUGGCCCGCCGGGAGCCUCCGGCCUGAACCGGGCCCGACUGAACCUGACUUUGCUGCCACGGCCACAGCUGCUCCGGGCUCUCCCUGGGAGUUCUGUGUCACCAGCUGUCCUCGAGGCAUGGACACGGGGUCAUCGUCCCACCUGCCG
This is a long non-coding RNA of Aethalodelphis obliquidens (Pacific white-sided dolphin), 1407 nucleotides long. RefSeq lists it as uncharacterized. NCBI's taxonomy places the organism in Eukaryota, Metazoa, Chordata, Mammalia, Artiodactyla, Delphinidae. The record is from RefSeq and is a predicted model, not a curated record. The transcript has 3 exons.